GAAGGACUGUCUGAUGCGUGGUUACCGCAUAUCUCUCGAGCCAACAUUUUCAUUUAGGGAGCUGUCUCUGUCCGGAUCGUGGUCCGGUUAUAUGGCACCCACCUUAACAUAAGCGGUUCGGUCUGAAUGUCCAAGUGUUACGGUCAGACGGUCUUCCC
Molecule: non-coding RNA, 158 nt
Filed under: Alphaproteobacteria bacterium
Lineage: Bacteria; Pseudomonadati; Pseudomonadota; Alphaproteobacteria
Description: 6S RNA
Rfam family: 6S / SsrS RNA
About the family: E. coli 6S RNA was the first non coding RNA to be sequenced, but its function was unknown until recently. It consists of 184 nucleotides that fold into an extended hairpin structure with a large single-stranded internal bulge. The 6S RNA specifically associates with RNA polymerase holoenzyme containing the sigma70 specificity factor.
Source: RNAcentral